Molecule: ribosomal RNA, 440 nt
Filed under: uncultured bacterium
Lineage: Bacteria
Description: partial 16S ribosomal RNA
Rfam family: Bacterial small subunit ribosomal RNA
Source: RNAcentral
CCUACGGGUGGCAGCAGUGGGGAAUAUUGGACAAUGGGGGAAACCCUGAUGCAGCAACGCCGCGUGAGUGAAGAAGUAUUUCGGUAUGUAAAGCUCUAUCAGCAGGGAAGAAGAUGACGGUACCAGAUUAAGAAGCCGCGGUUAACUACGUGCCAGCAGCCGCGGUAAUACGUAGGGGGCAAGCGUUAUCCGGAUUUUAUGGGUGUAAAGGGAGAGCAGACGGCAUUGGAAGGCUGGAGUGAAAGCCCGGGGCCCAACCCCGGAACUGCUCGUGAAACUGGGCGGCUAGAGUACUGGAGGGGCAGGCGGAAUUGCUAGUGUAGCGGUGAAAUGCGUAGAUAGUAGGAGGAACACCAGUGGCGAAGGCGGCCUCCUGGACAGUAACUGAUGUUGAGGCUCGAAAGCGUGGGGAGCAAACAGGAUGAGAUACCCCUGUAGUC